RNAcentral lists this ribosomal RNA (275 nucleotides) under uncultured bacterium. RNAcentral's name for it is "partial 16S ribosomal RNA". It matches the Rfam family "Bacterial small subunit ribosomal RNA", at positions 338 to 611 of the family's 1533-position model. The record is from RNAcentral.
CCUACGGGGGGCUGCAGUAGGGAAUAUUGGGCAAUGGGGGCAACCCUGACCCAGCCAUGCCGCGUGCAGGAGGAAGGCCCUCUGGGUUGUAAACUGCUUUUGGGAGGGGACAAAAAGGCCGUGCGCGGCUCAUUGAGUGUACCUCCAGAAUAAGCACCGGCUAACUCCGUGCCAGCAGCCGCGGUAAUACGGAGGGUGCGAGCGUUGUCCGGAUUUAUUGGGUUUAAAGGGUGCGUAGGCGGCCCCGUAAGUCGGCGGUGAAACCCACGGGCUCA